Non-coding RNA from Vicugna pacos (alpaca), 755 nucleotides. Lineage: Eukaryota; Metazoa; Chordata; Mammalia; Artiodactyla; Camelidae. The record is from RefSeq and is a predicted model, not a curated record.
ACAGAAUCUGCAGGAAUGCUAAGCACCCUCUCCCCCGCCACCCCACCACCACCACCUUCAGACUCAGGGGUCUGGGAUGGGGCCACGAAUCUGAAUUUUGUUAACAAGGGCUCUGGGUGGUUCUGACACAGUCAAAUCACAGACUCACAUUUUGGAACCACCAGACCGAGUGAUCUGUGCCCCAAAUCCUGGGAUUAUGGUCUCUGUCGAGAUUUACAGUUCUUGAGCACCCUCUCCAGUGCUGACUGACCCCUUCAUAGUCAUCUCUGUGUAUCCAGGUUCCCUUUUGUCUACACCAACCAAGCCCAGCUCUUCUGCUCUUUAGGCUGGCCGGCCACGUGGAAACUGAAGACCUACCCCAAGUCGCAUGAUCUGGACCAUCUCCAGGUAAAACCACAAUUUUGCGGUGGAACCCUGACUGUCACGGGGGGUCUCGGAACAGCCUGGAUGAGAGCUGACAGCUUCUCCGCUCGACGCUGACUCGGAAUUCCCAGAGCGCUCUCGCCACAGCUCCUGACCUGAACUGUACAGACCCAGAUUUCCUCACUUCCUAGCAGCCCAGCCUCCUUCCUCAGGAAGCCAGUGGAAUCAAGCUGACAAGGAUGUCCGCCGUCAGAUGGCUUUCUGCUGCACAUCUCAGGAGGAGGAAGCCAACCUGUAGCCUUCAGAGUACCCACAGCCCGAGGAGCCGCUGCACCACACUGCUGAGCGGGGCUGUAACAGACACCUGCCUCAGACAGGUCAGCGCUGAGGAA